Homo sapiens (human) is the source of this 1194-nucleotide long non-coding RNA. RefSeq annotates it as long independently transcribed non-coding RNA 1770. The transcript is spliced from 2 exons. The record is from RefSeq and is marked validated. Lineage: Eukaryota; Metazoa; Chordata; Mammalia; Primates; Hominidae.
ACCGCGGGGCCGUGCGGACGGCCAGCACUCGACUUUGCCUAAAAAAGGAAGCAGCAGGCUGAGGCUGAGGAGCUGGCGGCAGGAACAAGGGAGAGCUGUGUCCCCGCCGGCGCCCCCCACCCCCCCUGCCGGGGAUCUUGGCAGUGGAGGUGCUGGCUGCGCUCCACAGACCUCAGACCUCGGCUGGGACCAGAAAUGCCUGGUGCUUCCGCCUGGGCCCGGUGGGGGGACUUUGGGUCCCCAGAGUGCAAGCUGUACCACUUCGAGGGGCCUCGCCAGGCCCCCCAGCCCCCAGUACACAGGGGCUGCCGUGGAGAUGACGCUGAAGGCCGCAGCCGCUGGAGGACCUGGGGUCUGACCGGAAGCUGGCUGCAGACCCUGCGGAGGCACGUCCAGGCCUCUGCUCUCCGGGGCUACGGCCUCCCACAGGCACGUUCCUACAUCCCUCUGUGAACCGCCCACAGGCCCCCCCACAGGUGUUCCUCUGUGAGCUGGUCGGGCGGCCGGGGCCGGGGCCGGGCUUCGCUGCUCCGUGCCUUCCACCUCCCUGGCGGUGCGGGGCCUCAGGGUGGGCCUGGGAAGCUGGAAACACCUUUGGAAACAGCCGCCUGAGGCAGCUGUGGACAGAAGACCCUGCCCAGCAGCCAAGGGAGCUGGCCUCUCCGCUCAGCCUCCCCACCCCCACCAGGCCCAGCUGUUGUUUUCACGGCUCCGGGACCAGGCGGAUCCUCAGCCAAGAGCUUCCCAGGAGAGCCCUCAUCUUCAACCCCUAGUGGCGACCAGAGCCAGCCCGGGCAGGAGGGGAAGGAAGGCGGCCGCGGCCCCGGGGAAGCCAUCCUGGCAGCUUGGCCACUGGCCCGGCUCCUGUCUGACCAGGAAAGGCAUCAAAGCCGGACUCGGAUGGAGGCUGGAAAACCCCGAGACUUCUGCUGGACUCGACCCAGCCACACACCAGGCUGUGCUCAAGGCCACGGAAUGAGCCUUGACCCUGGCCCCAGACGGAGCCCAGACCUUGCUGGUCACAGGCUGAGCCCUGCUGGCAAUAUGAUGUACUAGAUCCCUUAAAAGGCCUUCCAGCAACAACCAACUUCUGGAUGAAUUACUAUGAGCGUACAUUUUUAAUAGACUGUUGUGUUUCCAAGAAAGUAAAUAUCUCCGAGUCUCCCCCAAAAUUAAACAGCAAAAAUAAAUAAG